CAGGACGAACGCUGGCGGCGUGCCUAACACAUGCAAGUCGAGCGGAGACAUACGACGGACACGAAGUUUCGGAUGGAGUGGAAGAUGUAUGUUUAGCGGCGGACGGGUGAGUAACGCGUGAGCAACCUGUCCCUUACAGGGGGAUAACACAGCGAAAGUUGUACUAAUACCGCAUGAGACCACAGCAGGACAUCCUGCAGGGGUCAAAGGAGAAAUCCGGUAAGGGGUGGGCUCGCGUCCGAUUAGAUAGUUGGUGGGGUAACGGCCUACCAAGUCGACGAUCGGUAGCCGACCUGAGAGGGUGAUCGGCCACAUUGGGACUGAGACACGGCCCAAACUCCUACGGGAGGCAGCAGUGGGGAAUAUUGGGCAAUGGGGGGAACCCUGACCCAGCAACGCCGCGUGAGGGAAGAAGGUUUUCGGAUCGUAAACCUCUGUCCUUGGUGAAGAGGAAGAGACGGUAGCCAAGGAGGAAGCCCCGGCUAACUACGUGCCAGCAGCUGC
RNAcentral lists this ribosomal RNA (504 nucleotides) under uncultured bacterium. RNAcentral describes it as "bacterial SSU rRNA". It matches the Rfam family "Bacterial small subunit ribosomal RNA", at positions 25 to 518 of the family's 1533-position model. The record is from RNAcentral.